This 425-nucleotide ribosomal RNA is filed under the name uncultured bacterium. RNAcentral's name for it is "bacterial SSU rRNA". It matches the Rfam family "Bacterial small subunit ribosomal RNA", at positions 354 to 796 of the family's 1533-position model. The record is from RNAcentral.
GUGAGGAAUUUUCCACAAUGGGCGAAAGCCUGAUGGAGCAAUGCCGCGUGCAGGAAGACGGCCUUCGGGUUGUAAACUGCUUUUAUAGAGGAAGAUUAUGACGGUACUUUAUGAAUAAGGACCUGCUAACUACGUGCCAGCAGCCGCGGUAAUACGUAGGGUCCAAGCGUUAUCCGGAUUCACUGGGCGUAAAGAGUUCGUAGGUUGGUUAGUAAGUCUACUGUUAAAGACCCCAGCUCAACUGGGGGAAAGCGGUGGAAACUACUUACCUAGAGAGUGGUAGAGGCAGAUGGAAUUCUCGGUGUAGGAGUUAUAUCCGUAGAUAUCGAGAAGAACACCAAAGGCGUAGGCAGUCUGCUGGGCCAUCUCUGACGCUGAGGAACGAAAGCGUGGGUAGCGAACGGGAUUAGAUACCCUAGUAGUCC